Molecule: long non-coding RNA, 1342 nt
Filed under: Sinocyclocheilus grahami
Lineage: Eukaryota; Metazoa; Chordata; Actinopteri; Cypriniformes; Cyprinidae
Description: lncRNA (ENSSGRG00000053272.1)
Source: RNAcentral
CUAUGGACGUGUUAGCCUCCAAGACCAAAAGAGUCUACGUUGAUGGUGUGCAAAGAUAUGCCACUCCUUUAUUGCGUGCUGCUUCUGUUGUUCAGUUGCGAGCCUCACCAAAUGCAGUUAUGUCCUCCCUCAGAGGUAUUGAGCGUCGCCUUCAAAGAAAUCCUGAAUCUGCUGCUGUCUAUGACCAAGAAAUUGCCAAGUUGGAGAAGGCUGGUUAUAUUUCCAAAGUGGAACCUCCUCAUGAUUCAUCCAAGGAAUCAUGGUAUAUCCCUCAUCAUUUUGUUGAGCAUAACGGGAAACCUCGAAUAGUCUUCAAUUGUUCCUAUCAAUGUAAAGGUAUGUCACUAAACAACCAGCUCCUUCCUGGUCCAAAAUUAGGCCCCUCCUUACUUGGUGUCUUACUCCGAUUUCGCCAGUAUCCAGUAGUCAUUAGUAGUGACAUAAAAUCUAUGUUUCACCAAAUUAGGCUACUACCAGAAGAUCGUCCUCUCUUACGCUUCCUGUGGCGCAACCUGCAGAGAUCAAAUCCACCUGAUGUCUACGAAUGGCAAGUUUUGCAAUUUGGUACAGUAUGUAGUCCAUGUUGCGCAACAUAUGCUUUACAAAGGUAUGUCCAUGACUACCAAGAAGGAUAUGAAGAUAUAGUGAAUUCUGUACUUCAGUCGUUCUAUGUGGAUAAUUGUUUAGAGUGUUUCCCACACGUGCAAGUCGCAAAGAACCACCUUGACCGCGUGCGUUCCUUACUGGUGAGUGAGGGAUUUGAAAUCAGACAGUGGGCAAGUAACCAGCCUGAUGUUGUGAGACAUCUUCCUUCUGAAGCCAGGUCUGAGAGUGCAGAACUUUGGAUCAGUCAAGACCGGUUGGAUCCAAAAGAAGGAGCUUUGGGUCCGAGUUGGCACUGUCCCUCCGAUUCAUUGGGGUAUCGAUCUCGAACUGUGGAGUAUAACGCAACAACUAUGCGCAAUAUCUAUAAAGUUCUCGCUAGUCAAUAUGACCCAUUGGGUUAUAUUACUCCCUUUACAACGCGAGCUAAGGUCAUUGUACAGCAAUGCUGGAUGAAGUCUCGGGGUUGGGAUGAUCCCCUUAUGCCAAAUCCUAUCCAACGGGCCUGGAAGGCUUGGGAAACUGAGCUACCUGAUCUGUCAUUGAUACAGCUUCCCCGCUGUUACUUAACUUUGCCUUCCAAGCAAAUUGUAUCCAGAGAGUUGCAUAUUUUUUGCGAUGCUUCAGAGAGCGCAUAUGGGUCAGUAGCAUAUUUGCGAAUGGAAACUGACAAGGGCGUGGUACAUACUACUUUCAUCAUGGCAAGAUCUCGAGUUGCCCCAAAAAGGCAAAUUUCCAU